GCACCCGCAGUCCCACACCAGGGCUGAGUCACGGCCCUUUCCCCACCGGGUUUCUUAAUGAGGCACAGCGUACGCUAGGAGAGCUGCAGCGUCGAGGCCCUGUGGAUAUUGUCCACCACUGUGGCAGAGAAACAUUAGCGACUCAUCUGCAUGUAGCUUCUCUUUACAACCCAGGUUUAUCUGAACAAUAUGCAUGUGUGCAUGAGUCUAAACUGAUAUUGUUUGGAGAUGACCUACGCAAGAUCAGCCAAGAAAUUCGGCUGGUGGCAUUUUCUUCUUGCCAGCAAAUCCCACAUAAGAACUUAUGCGAUAAUUAAUCACAAAUGAUUAAUUAUCUCUGUUUUCUGUUAGAUAAUUUUCUGAUUUUGAACCAAAUUCACAAGAAGGCGCCAGAGUGUAUGCGGAGAGAUGCACCGGGGCCAUAAUAAAAGAAGAUGAAAUGGGAAUCCGAAUCACUUUAUUGUCAUUUCCAGUAAACAAGUUCGCAGGCCAGGAAAUUGCUUUGAGGUAACAAUGCAAAAAUAAAUAAAUAAUAAAAUUAUAUAUGAGCAUGAAAAAGAAAAAAAUAGAAGAAAAAAAAAAAAGAUUUUU
Molecule: long non-coding RNA, 591 nt
Organism: Gambusia affinis (western mosquitofish)
Lineage: Eukaryota; Metazoa; Chordata; Actinopteri; Cyprinodontiformes; Poeciliidae
Exons: 2
Source: RefSeq, a predicted model, not a curated record